UACCAAGGCGACGAUCAGUAGCCGGACUGAGAGGUCGAUCGGCCACAUUGGGACUGAGACACGGCCCAGACUCCUACGGGAGGCAGCAGUGGGGAAUAUUGCGCAAUGGGGGAAACCCUGACGCAGCAACGCCGCGUGAAGGAAGAAGGAUUUUGGUCUGUAAACUUCUUUAAUCUGUGAAGAAACAAAUGACGGUAGCAGAGGAAUAAGCCCCGGCUAACUACGUGCCAGCAGCCGCGGUAAUACGUAGGGGGCAAGCGUUGUCCGGAAUUACUGGGUGUAAAGGGAGUGUAGGCGGGUAUUUAAGUUAGAUGUGAAACCACGGGCUCAACUUGUGGACUGCAUUUGAAACUGGAUAUCUUGAGUGUGGGAGAGGAAAGUGGAAUUCCUAGUGUAGCGGUGAAAUGCGUAGAUAUC
This 417-nucleotide ribosomal RNA is filed under the name uncultured bacterium. RNAcentral describes it as "bacterial SSU rRNA". It matches the Rfam family "Bacterial small subunit ribosomal RNA", at positions 266 to 698 of the family's 1533-position model. The record is from RNAcentral.